RNAcentral lists this long non-coding RNA (308 nucleotides) under Vigna radiata. RNAcentral's name for it is "long non-coding RNA (VRAD_LNC015630)". Lineage: Eukaryota; Viridiplantae; Streptophyta; Magnoliopsida; Fabales; Fabaceae. The record is from RNAcentral.
GCCAAUUGGACUUUUAAAAUUAAUUUCUAAUUGUCAUUUAGUCAAGUUAAUUGCUAGGAUUAAAUUAGGCUCGUUGGUUUCUUUGGUUUUUAAUUAAUUUAGUUAAUAGGUUGAGUUAGUCUUGCAUUUAAAUAUUUUUAAUUGUGUUUGUUAAUCAGUUUGUAACAGUGUUUGAUGUUUGAAUGUUGUCUAAGGCUUUUAAUAGUGUUAGUUUAAUUACCAUGCUAGCUUAAAUUAGUUUGUUUGCAUAUGUGUCUUUAUUGAGUUCUUUGGUUUUCGCAAACCGUUUUCACAACCCCCCUUCUGUG